This 467-nucleotide ribosomal RNA is filed under the name uncultured bacterium. RNAcentral describes it as "partial 16S ribosomal RNA". It matches the Rfam family "Bacterial small subunit ribosomal RNA", at positions 29 to 507 of the family's 1533-position model. The record is from RNAcentral.
ACGAACGCUGGCGGCGCGCCUAACACCUGCAAGUCGCACGGAGCUGAGAGAAGCUUGCUUUUCUUAGCUUAGUGGCGAACGGGUGAGUAACGCGUGAGUAACCUGCCCUGGAGUGGGGGACAACAGUUGGAAACGACUGCUAAUACCGCAUAAGCCCACGAUCCGGCAUCGGAUUGAGGGAAAAGGAUUUAUUCGCUUCAGGAUGGACUCGCGUCCAAUUAGCUAGUUGGUGAGGUAACGGCCCACCAAGGCGACGAUUGGUAGCCGGACUGAGAGGUUGAACGGCCACAUUGGGACUGAGACACGGCCCAGACUCCUACGGGAGGCAGCAGUAGGGGAUAUUGCACAAUGGGGGAAACCCUGAUGCAGCGACGCCGCGUGGAGGAAGAAGGUUUUCGGAUUGUAAACUCCUGUCGUUAGGGACGAUAAUGACGGUACCUAACAAGAAAGCACCGGCUAACUACGUG